Molecule: non-coding RNA, 118 nt
Filed under: Marinoscillum sp. 108
Lineage: Bacteria; Pseudomonadati; Bacteroidota; Cytophagia; Cytophagales; Reichenbachiellaceae
Description: SAM riboswitch aptamer (S box leader)
Rfam family: SAM riboswitch aptamer (S box leader)
About the family: The SAM riboswitch is found upstream of a number of genes which code for proteins involved in methionine or cysteine biosynthesis in Gram-positive bacteria.
Source: Rfam by way of RNAcentral
CAUUUAUCGAGAAAGGCAGAGGGAUUGGGCCCUAUGAAGCCUUGGCAACCUUUUCUGGUCAUCUGAUCAGGAUUUCGGUGCCAACUCCCAUCCAGGCAUUGUCUGGAAGAGAUAAAGU